Molecule: long non-coding RNA, 1409 nt
Organism: Physella acuta
Lineage: Eukaryota; Metazoa; Mollusca; Gastropoda; Physidae
Source: RefSeq, a predicted model, not a curated record
UAUGUGCGGCACCCGAUUUAAGUGUAUUGGGGGUCAGAUGUCAAAUUUCAGUUUUGACCUAAUUAUUAAAGUAUAUCCAUUUCUGAAUACAAAACCACAUAACAUAUUGUUGGAAAAUGCUUAUUUUUAUUUUAAAUUAAUUUUUUUGUGAGGCAUGUAUAUGCAUGUUUUGUCUAAUUUUUCAAAAAUACUGCGAAAAUUGCCAAAGUUUACUGCUAUAAAACAUACAGAUAACUAAAAAUAGCUACCGCGUGUUUAGUAUCGCCGGAAAGCUCCUUUUCUUGUCUAUAACGACAAGGUAAAUUUGUCAACCAAUGAAAAUAUUCCAUUUAAUUUCGAAUGUUCAAAUGAAACACACUUUUUAAAGAUUUUGACCUACAUAUACCAAAUUUCCCUACUCGGCCUUACCCCGGAAGCAAGGUAAAAUUCUAUUGGCUGGCGGACUCGGCAUUAUCAGUGUUAAAAUUUUCGAUUCGCUAGCUAGUUUAUCGCUUCCGGCGUGCCUAGUGAUGAACUGAUUCUUGUUGUGGAAUUUCAAUCAGCUGUUUACAAACUUUUUAGACAAAUCUCAUCGUAUCAAAUAUUUUUGGCGGUUUAAUAAUGUUUAAACUGUUUAGAAGUUGCGUGAUUUCAUACCAGCCACCAUUCUCUGUAGAUUCACUGCUACUACUACUAGAUUUAGUCUACACAAGCCUACCGCACACGACAAGAGUAAGCAGUGUGUUACGGUAGUUACGUGUGUGUAGUAAGUUAUUACACAGCAAGAAUUACACUGUCACCCUGUGAUCGAACCCAAAACAGACUUAUCAGAUAGAACGAUUUUUUUAAUAACUUAAGUAAUCCCCGGGUGAAGUUGGCCUGCACAUGUUACAAGUGUUCUAAUGCGUAACAAGGAUAAAAUCAUAAAAGAGUACACAACAAACUAGUCUCAUGUGUGUGAUGUUCUACAGCUGAUUAUGAAAACUACAGCCUUAAUUUUGUUUACAAGGAAUAGAUGCACGGACAUCAAGCAGCCUACAGUGUGUGUUGAAAACCCUGCAAGCUGCCCUGGUUCAAGAAUUGACCUUUGCCAAGAGAAAGCCAAGCAGUAUGAAACCAGACAAUAACUUGGAAAAAGAGCAUUUAUUUUGGUCAGUGUACAAGUAUUAACAGGAAGAGAUAAAGAGAGCUGAAGAGAUGGAUAAAUCAAUUAUUAUAGUUAUAGUGGUAGCAAUAAUUUAAAAAAAAACCAUUGAAACAUUUUGCCGGACAACUAAUCUGAAAAAAGAAAAUGCUAGAUGGCAGGAAAAAGUAGCAGUUGCCAAAAUGAAAUGUUAAUAUGCUUAACAAAAUAGAACUGUUAGGUGUGGUUCUGCCCAUUUUUUUAAACAACUUAUUUUAAGAAAAUAAAAAUGUUUUUUACCUUUACG